RNAcentral lists this ribosomal RNA (1492 nucleotides) under Lactobacillus japonicus. RNAcentral's name for it is "16S ribosomal RNA". It matches the Rfam family "Bacterial small subunit ribosomal RNA". The record is from RNAcentral. Lineage: Bacteria; Bacillati; Bacillota; Bacilli; Lactobacillales; Lactobacillaceae.
GACGAACGCUGGCGGCGUGCCUAAUACAUGCAAGUCGAACGAACUCUGGUAUUGAUUGGUGCUUGCAUCAUGAUUUACAUUUGAGUGAGUGGCGAACUGGUGAGUAACACGUGGGAAACCUGCCCAGAAGCGGGGGAUAACACCUGGAAACAGAUGCUAAUACCGCAUAACAACUUGGACCGCAUGGUCCGAGNUUGAAAGAUGGCUUCGGCUAUCACUUNUGGAUGGUCCCGCGGCGUAUUAGCUAGAUGGUGNGGUAACGGCUCACCAUGGCAAUGAUACGUAGCCGACCUGAGAGGGUAAUCGGCCACAUUGGGACUGAGACACGGCCCAAACUCCUACGGGAGGCAGCAGUAGGGAAUCUUCCACAAUGGACGAAAGUCUGAUGGAGCAACGCCGCGUGAGUGAAGAAGGGUUUCGGCUCGUAAAACUCUGUUGUUAAAGAAGAACAUAUCUGAGAGUAACUGUUCAGGUAUUGACGGUAUUUAACCAGAAAGCCACGGCUAACUACGUGCCAGCAGCCGCGGUAAUACGUAGGUGGCAAGCGUUGUCCGGAUUUAUUGGGCGUAAAGCGAGCGCAGGCGGUUUUUUAAGUCUGAUGUGAAAGCCUUCGGCUCAACCGAAGAAGUGCAUCGGAAACUGGGAAACUUGAGUGCAGAAGAGGACAGUGGAACUCCAUGUGUAGCGGUGAAAUGCGUAGAUAUAUGGAAGAACACCAGUGGCGAAGGCGGCUGUCUGGUCUGUAACUGACGCUGAGGCUCGAAAGUAUGGGUAGCAAACAGGAUUAGAUACCCUGGUAGUCCAUACCGUAAACGAUGAAUGCUAAGUGUUGGAGGGUUUCCGCCCUUCAGUGCUGCAGCUAACGCAUUAAGCAUUCCGCCUGGGGAGUACGGCCGCAAGGCUGAAACUCAAAGGAAUUGACGGGGGCCCGCACAAGCGGUGGAGCAUGUGGUUUAAUUCGAAGCUACGCGAAGAACCUUACCAGGUCUUGACAUACUAUGCAAAUCUAAGAGAUUAGACGUUCCCUUCGGGGACAUGGAUACAGGUGGUGCAUGGUUGUCGUCAGCUCGUGUCGUGAGAUGUUGGGUUAAGUCCCGCAACGAGCGCAACCCUUAUUAUCAGUUGCCAGCAUUAAGUUGGGCACUCUGGUGAGACUGCCGGUGACAAACCGGAGGAAGGUGGGGAUGACGUCAAAUCAUCAUGCCCCUUAUGACCUGGGCUACACACGUGCUACAAUGGAUGGUACAACGAGUUGCGAACUCGCGAGAGUAAGCUAAUCUCUUAAAGCCAUUCUCAGUUCGGAUUGUAGGCUGCAACUCGCCUACAUGAAGUCGGAAUCGCUAGUAAUCGCGGAUCAGCAUGCCGCGGUGAAUACGUUCCCGGGCCUUGUACACACCGCCCGUCACACCAUGAGAGUUUGUAACACCCAAAGUCGGUGGGGUAACCUUUUAGGAACCAGCCGCCUAAGGUGGGACAGAUGAUUAGGGUGAAG